RNAcentral lists this long non-coding RNA (346 nucleotides) under Coturnix japonica (Japanese quail). Its description in RNAcentral is "lncRNA (ENSCJPG00005010375.1)". The record is from RNAcentral. Lineage: Eukaryota; Metazoa; Chordata; Aves; Galliformes; Phasianidae.
CAAUGUAAUACUACUGAAUAUUAAUGACAGGCAGAGCCUAGAUUCUCUCUUUUGUUAGUCUGAUAAUUUCCAAUCUGGGAGAGGGAAAAUUCCAUGCACUUGAUGUACAUGGAUUAGGCUUGUGAAAUUAGUUCAUUUUCUUCUUCAGCACUAAUCUAACAUUACAAAAAGUUACGGACAAGCUGCUGUGGUAUUAAAUGAGAGGAUAAGAGCUCUUCAUAUUCCUCUUGAGAACACUUAACAAGUGUCUACUACCAUACUCACUGAUCAUCCUCCUGAUCAUGAUCAGCUAAGCUAUUUUAUUCAGAGGUCUCAUCUAUUACAAAAUAUGAAGCAGAACCCAUGA